UCGGAUCAGGUAGGAAUACCCGCUGAACUUAAGCAUAUC
RNAcentral lists this ribosomal RNA (39 nucleotides) under Stachybotrys chartarum. RNAcentral's name for it is "partial 28S ribosomal RNA". The record is from RNAcentral. Lineage: Eukaryota; Fungi; Ascomycota; Sordariomycetes; Hypocreales; Stachybotryaceae.